CCUACGGGAGGCAGCAGUGGGGAAUAUUGGACAAUGGGGGAAACCCUGAUCCAGCGACGCCGCGUUAGUGAAGAAGUAUUUCGGUACGUAAAGCUCUAUCAGCAGGAAAGAAAAUGACGGUACCUGACUAAGAAGCCCCGGCUAACUACGUGCCAGCAGCCGCGGUAAUACGUAGGGGGCAAGCGUUAUCCGGAUUUACUGGGUGGAAAGGGAGCGUAGACGGCAGCGCAAGUCUGGAGUGAAAUGCCGGGGCCCAACCCCGGAACUGCUCUGGAAACUGUGAAGCUGGAGUGCAGGAGAGGUAAGCGGAAUUCCUGGUGUAGCGGUGAAAUGCGUAGAUAUCAGGAGGAACACCGGCGGCGAAGGCGGCUUACUGGACUGUAACUGACGUUGAGGCUCGAAGGCGUGGGGAGCAAACAGGAUUAGAUACCCCGGUAGUC
Molecule: ribosomal RNA, 440 nt
Filed under: uncultured bacterium
Lineage: Bacteria
Description: partial 16S ribosomal RNA
Rfam family: Bacterial small subunit ribosomal RNA
Source: RNAcentral